AGGUAGAAGUACUAGUGCUCGACGCUGCACUAGUAUUCGACAUGGGCACUUUAUGUCAAAGUGACAAGGAUUAAAUUUGAAUACAGAAAAAUCUUCGUUGUUCAAAUUUAACCUAUAUUACUUUGACAUAAAGUGCCCAUGUCGAAUACUAGUGCAGCGUCAAGCACUAGUACUUCUACCUUAUUUCUUUUACAAUAAUUUAAAUUUCAGCUGCAAACCAGAUUCAGAUCAGAUCUUCACAUGCCAGAGUACCUCUGUCAACAUCAAACAGUGAAAAUGCACAAACUUCAGCUACUGCAUCUACGAGUACAGGCCAAGCUUGUCUGAAAUCUGGAAUAAGCAUUCGACUGGAUAAAGCGGCAAUACCAGCUAAACGCCCCCGCUUUGCUGACAAACAACCUGGCGGAUCUAUAGGGAUACUCUAGUUCAGCGGUCGGCAACAAGCGGCCCUCUCACUCGCGGCCCGCGAGCCCCCCUGGCUAUUUUGUAUGUAAUAUUGUCAAACAACAAUGUCUGAUUAAAGUCACACAUAUUAACAAAAGUGCGGCCCGCGUCAACUUCCUUAACUACUAUGUGGCCCUUGGCUGCUAAAAGGUUGCCGACCGCUGCUCUAGUUCUUGCUUCUGAUAAUCGAAAAACGCAGCGAGCAAAUCAAAAGACUAGAUUACAAUACAACGAAGAAAGAAUUGCUGAAGAAGCUCAUGAAAGUGAAAUCGAGUUUACUUUAUUAAGAGUCUGCCUAAUAGGUAGCUUAGGACUUUAACCAGAUAAAUUGUUUUUAAAUCCAUCUUUGAAACAUGGUAUCAAAGAGAAUUUUAAAUAGAGAGUUACUGUCAUGGUAAAUUAUGUAGCUACAGUACCUACAUUUACUGCCAUCUUUCGACAGAAGAUUAAACCUGUUAGAACGCCAUUUGACUUUGAUCAUUAUUCUUUCACUGAUAUCACAGAAUAAGUAAUAGUAUUUGAUAUGUGUAAACUUGUUAAAUAUUAAUAUUAACACCAUCUACUCGAGAGUAGGCCAAAGGUAUGGUGUAAUCUUUUCGAGCGAUGGCGCCAUAACCUUUGGCCUACAGUCGAGUAGAUGGCGUUAAUUUCAAUAUUUAACAAAUUUACACAUAUCAGUGAAAUAAUAAAAGGGCUCAUUUAGUCGAUGCGACAACUCGCAUGCCAGUUCCAUUACAUUGCGGUUUUCGAUCGGGCGGUUGAAUUGGACUUAACCAACAGUCCGCAAUGUAGCUAAAAUCGCAUAUACGCUUCGCGCGCCGUCUUAAUCAGCCUUAUGGAUCAAAGUCAAAUGGCGUUCUAACAGUUUUAAUUUUCUGUCGAAAGAUAUUGGCAGUAAAUUUACAGUGGCUACAUAAUUUACUUUGACAAUCCGCC
This is a long non-coding RNA of Cydia splendana, 1380 nucleotides long. RefSeq lists it as uncharacterized. NCBI's taxonomy places the organism in Eukaryota, Metazoa, Arthropoda, Insecta, Lepidoptera, Tortricidae. The record is from RefSeq and is a predicted model, not a curated record. The transcript has 4 exons.